CUCCUGGAAACGGGUGGUAAUGCCGGAUGUUCCAGUUGAUCGCAUGGUCUUCUGGGAAAGCUUUCGCGGUAUGGGAUGGGGUCGCGUCCUAUCAGCUUGACGGCGGGGUAACGGCCCACCGUGGCUUCGACGGGUAGCCGGCCUGAGAGGGCGACCGGCCACAUUGGGACUGAGAUACGGCCCAGACUCCUACGGGAGGCAGCAGUGGGGAAUAUUGCACAAUGGGCGCAAGCCUGAUGCAGCGACGCCGCGUGAGGGAUGGAGGCCUUCGGGUUGUAAACCUCUUUUAUCGGGGAGCAAGCGUGAGUGAGUUUACCCGUUGAAUAAGCACCGGCUAACUACGUGCCAGCAGCCGCGGUAAUACGUAGGGUGCAAGCGUUAUCCGGAAUUAUUGGGCGUAAAGGGCUCGUAGGCGGUUCGUCGCGUCCGGUGUGAAAGUCCAUCGCUUAACGGUGGAUCCGCGCCCGGUACGGGCGGGCUUGAGUGUGGUAGGGGAAACUGGAAUUCCCGGUGUAACGGUGGAAUGUGUAUGAUCGUUCAUCACAACAA
This 549-nucleotide ribosomal RNA is filed under the name uncultured Bifidobacterium sp. RNAcentral describes it as "bacterial SSU rRNA". It matches the Rfam family "Bacterial small subunit ribosomal RNA", at positions 147 to 712 of the family's 1533-position model. Lineage: Bacteria; Bacillati; Actinomycetota; Actinomycetes; Bifidobacteriales; Bifidobacteriaceae. The record is from RNAcentral.